ACCGGAGAAUGUUAUCACGGGAGACACACGGCGGGUGCUAACGUCCGUCGUGAAGAGGGAAACAACCCAGACCGCCAGCUAAGGUCCCAAAGUCAUGGUUAAGUGGGAAACGAUGUGGGAAGGCCCAGACAGCCAGGAUGUUGGCUUAGAAGCAGCCAUCAUUUAAAGAAAGCGUAAUAGCUCACUGGUCGAGUCGGCCUGCGCGGAAGAUGUAACGGGGCUAAACCAUGCACCGAAGCUGCGGCAGCGACACUCAGGUGUUGUUGGGUAGGGGAGCGUUCUGUAAGCCUGUGAAGGUGGCCUGUGAGGGUUGCUGGAGGUAUCAGAAGUGCGAAUGCUGACAUAAGUAACGAUAAAGCGGGUGAAAAGCCCGCUCGCCGGAAGACCAAGGGUUCCUGUCCAACGUUAAUCGGGGCAGGGUGAGUCGACCCCUAAGGCGAGGCCGAAAGGCGUAGUCGAUGGGAAACGGGUUAAUAUUCCCGUACUUGGUGUUACUGCGAAGGGGGGACGGAGAAGGCUAUGUUGGCCGGGCGACGGUUGUCCCGGUUUAAGCGUGUAGGUGUGUGUUCCAGGUAAAUCCGGUUCACUUUAACACUGAGGCGUGACGACGAGGCACUACGGUGCUGAAGCAACAAAUGCCCUGCUUCCAGGAAAAGCCUCUAAGCAUCAGGUAACAUCAAAUCGUACCCCAAACCGACACAGGUGGUCAGGUAGAGAAUACCAAGGCGCUUGAGAGAACUCGGGUGAAGGAACUAGGCAAAAUGGUGCCGUAACUUCGGGAGAAGGCACGCUGACACGUAGGUGAAGUGAUUUACUCAUGGAGCUGAAGUCAGUCGAAGAUACCAGCUGGCUGCAACUGUUUAUUAAAAACACAGCACUGUGCAAACACGAAAGUGGACGUAUACGGUGUGACGCCUGCCCGGUGCCGGAAGGUUAAUUGAUGGGGUCAGCGCAAGCGAAGCUCCUGAUCGAAGCCCCGGUAAACGGCGGCCGUAACUAUAACGGUCCUAAGGUAGCGAAAUUCCUUGUCGGGUAAGUUCCGACCUGCACGAAUGGCGUAAUGAUGGCCAGGCUGUCUCCACCCGAGACUCAGUGAAAUUGAACUCGCUGUGAAGAUGCAGUGUACCCGCGGCAAGACGGAAAGACCCCGUGAACCUUUACUAUAGCUUGACACUGAACAUUGAGCCUUGAUGUGUAGGAUAGGUGGGAGGCUUUGAAGUGUGGACGCCAGUCUGCAUGGAGCCGACCUUGAAAUACCACCCUUUAAUGUUUGAUGUUCUAACGUGGACCCGUUACCCGGGUUGCGGACAGUGUCUGGUGGGUAGUUUGACUGGGGCGGUCUCCUCCUAAAGAGUAACGGAGGAGCACGAAGGUUGGCUAAUCCUGGUCGGACAUCAGGAGGUUAGUGCAAUGGCAUAAGCCAGCUUGACUGCGAGCGUGACGGCGCGAGCAGGUGCGAAAGCAGGUCAUAGUGAUCCGGUGGUUCUGAAUGGAAGGGCCAUCGCUCAACGGAUAAAAGGUACUCCGGGGAUAACAGGCUGAUACCGCCCAAGAGUUCAUAUCGACGGCGGUGUUUGGCACCUCGAUGUCGGCUCAUCACAUCCUGGGGCUGAAGUAGGUCCCAAGGGUAUGGCUGUUCGCCAUUUAAAGUGGUACGCGAGCUGGGUUUAGAACGUCGUGAGACAGUUCGGUCCCUAUCUGCCGUGGGCGCUGGAGAACUGAGGGGGGCUGCUCCUAGUACGAGAGGACCGGAGUGGACGCAUCACUGGUGUUCGGGUUGUCAUGCCAAUGGCACUGCCCGGUAGCUAAAUGCGGAAGAGAUAAGUGCUGAAAGCAUCUAAGCACGAAACUUGCCCCGA
This 1859-nucleotide ribosomal RNA is filed under the name Salmonella enterica subsp. enterica serovar Paratyphi A. RNAcentral's name for it is "partial 23S ribosomal RNA". It matches the Rfam family "Bacterial large subunit ribosomal RNA", at positions 961 to 2802 of the family's 2925-position model. The record is from RNAcentral. Lineage: Bacteria; Pseudomonadati; Pseudomonadota; Gammaproteobacteria; Enterobacterales; Enterobacteriaceae.